GACGAACGCUGGCGGCGUGCCUAAUACAUGCAAGUCGAACGCAGUGGGGACGGGUGAGUAACAACUGGGUAACCUCCCAUCAGAGGGGAUAACACUUGGAAACUGGUGCUAAACCGAUACUGAUGUAUGGACCCGCGGUGCAUUAGCUAGUUGGUGAGGUAACGGCUCACCAAGGCCACGAUGCAUAGCCGACCUGAGAGGAUGAUCGGCCCCACUGGGACUGAGACACGGCCCAGACUCCUACGGGAGGCAGCAGUAGGGAAUAUUCGGCAAUGGACGCAAGUCUGACCGAGCAACGCAGCGUGGGUGAAGAAGGUUUUCGGGUCGUAAAGCUCUGUUGUUAGAGAAGCGGUAUCUGAACAGAAAGCCACGGCUAACUACGUGCCAGCAGCCGCGGUAAUAC
This 403-nucleotide ribosomal RNA is filed under the name uncultured bacterium. Its description in RNAcentral is "partial 16S ribosomal RNA". It matches the Rfam family "Bacterial small subunit ribosomal RNA", at positions 28 to 526 of the family's 1533-position model. The record is from RNAcentral.